RNAcentral lists this ribosomal RNA (793 nucleotides) under uncultured Actinomycetes bacterium. RNAcentral describes it as "bacterial SSU rRNA". It matches the Rfam family "Bacterial small subunit ribosomal RNA", at positions 52 to 824 of the family's 1533-position model. Lineage: Bacteria; Bacillati; Actinomycetota; Actinomycetes. The record is from RNAcentral.
UACUGCAAGUCGAACGCGAAAGUCCCCUUCGGGGGGCGAGUAGAGUGGCGCACGGGUGAGUAACACGUAGGUAAUCUACCUUUGGAUGGGGAAUAACCACCGGAAACGGUGGCUAAUACCGCAUAAUGCAGCGGCACCUAAUGGUGACAGUUGUUAAAGCGGGGGAUCGUAAGACCUCGCGUCUGAAGAGGAGCCUGCGGCAGAUUAGCUAGUUGGUAAGGUAAUGGCUUACCAAGGCGAUGAUCUGUAGCCGGCCUGAGAGGGCGGUCGGCCACACUGACACUGACAUACGGGUCAGACUCCUACGGGAGGCAGCAGUCGGGAAUUUUGGGCAAUGGGCGAAAGCCUGACCCAGCAACGCCGCGUGAAGGAUGAAAUCCUUCGGGAUGUAAACUUCGCAAGAACGGGAAGAAUAAGUAAGGGUUAAUAUCUCUUACGAUGACGGUACUGUUUGUAAGCUCCGGCUAACUCCGUGCCAGCAGCCGCGGUAAUACGGGGGGAGCAAGCGUUGUUCGGAUUUACUGGGCGUAAAGGGCGCGUAGGCGGCCACCGCAAGUCAGUUGUGAAAUCUCUGGGCUUAACCCAGAAAGGUCAACUGAUACUGCGGGGCUAGAGUGCAGAAGGGGCAACUGGAAUUCUCGGUGUAGCGGUGAAAUGCGUAGAUAUCGAGAGGAACACCUGCGGCGAAAGCGGGUUGCUGGGCUGACACUGACGCUGAUGCGCGAAAGCUAGGGGAGCGAACGGGAUUAGAUACCCCGGUAGUCCUAGCCUUAAACGAUGAAUGCUUGGUGUC